GUGCCAGCAGCCGCGGUAAUACCGGAGGGGGCUAGCGUUGUUCGGAAUUACUGGGCGUAAAGCGCACGUAGGCGGAUCAGAAAGUUGGGGGUGAAAUCCCGGGGCUCAACCUCGGAACUGCCUUCAAAACUAUUGGUCUUGAGUUCGAGAGAGGUGAGUGGAAUUCCGAGUGUAGAGGUGAAAUUCGUAGAUAUUCGGAGGAACACCAGUGGCGAAGGCGGCUCACUGGCUCGAUACUGACGCUGAGGUGCGAAAGCGUGGGGAGCAAACAGGAUUAGAUA
Molecule: ribosomal RNA, 281 nt
Filed under: uncultured Rhodobacterales bacterium
Lineage: Bacteria; Pseudomonadati; Pseudomonadota; Alphaproteobacteria; Rhodobacterales
Description: partial 16S ribosomal RNA
Rfam family: Bacterial small subunit ribosomal RNA
Source: RNAcentral